GGGUCCACUGUUAGCCUCACCUCCUCAAUGGGAUGGUUGUUCUCUUCAACUGUAAAUGAUUUAGUUGGUCAGUUCUGUUGUGAUCGCUCUUUGUUCCACGGGCUGAUUUCUCUUACAAAAUGCUGAUAUAUAUUUGGAAUUUCAAUAUGCUUGAAUGGAAGGGAUGUUCAACCGAUUGGAAACUGGUGUUGCAUGAUGAAAGGAUGUUUUGUUUACGAAGUUGUUUGGAUUUCGUCUCGAAGAUAUGGCAUUGGUUCUGUUGAAGACGUUCAGGUUUUGCUCUUGAAGCUGUUCAAAUUUCUUUCAUUUUUUUUAAAGAAAUUGGAAAAAUAUAUAUUUGUAAACAAUAAUAAAGCUAACUUAUGGUAUAGUUUAUAUAA
This is a long non-coding RNA of Dendrobium catenatum, 380 nucleotides long. RefSeq lists it as uncharacterized. The record is from RefSeq and is a predicted model, not a curated record. The transcript is spliced from 2 exons. Lineage: Eukaryota; Viridiplantae; Streptophyta; Magnoliopsida; Asparagales; Orchidaceae.